UGUGAAGUGGGUUGCGUACGAGUCAAAAAUUGAAAAAUUUGUAAACAAAACAAGUUUACUCUAAAAUAUCUGUUUUCUUUCAGAUUCUUUUUAUUUAUAGAAGAGACGAUGUAAUAAGUAAAAACUGAUAAAGGAGAAGCUAAUUAAAGCUUGAGACUGUGGCAAAACUUAAAUAUAACCUUGGAAAGCUGCUAUUUACCCUCAUGAAUUUACCUCAAGACGCUAGCAUGUUCUAUAAAUUUUCAGAAGUUAUUGCCCUUUAAAUAUGUUUUCGGAGGAUUACAGCAAUUUUAAAGGUGUUCAUGAACCCGCUAUAUUAAGGGAUGAAACACGUUGAAGUGGACAUGACUACACAGAAGAAUCCCUUACAAAUAAUUGUGUAAAUAGUUACAGAAAUUAAGGUCGAGAAUGUUACUAGUCCUUACGAUUGAAUAAUUUUAAUAAAAAGUGAUAAAUUAAU
This is a long non-coding RNA of Agrilus planipennis (emerald ash borer), 460 nucleotides long. RefSeq lists it as uncharacterized. The transcript is spliced from 3 exons. Lineage: Eukaryota; Metazoa; Arthropoda; Insecta; Coleoptera; Buprestidae. The record is from RefSeq and is a predicted model, not a curated record.